CCUACGGGAGGCAGCAGUGAGGAAUAUUGGUCAAUGGACGAGAGUCUGAACCAGCCAAGUAGCGUGAAGGAUGACUGCCCUAUGGGUUGUAAACUUCGUUUAUAAAGGAAUAAAACGAGGCACGUGUGCCUUAUUGCAUGUACUUUAUGAAUAAGGAUCGGCUAACUCCGUGCCAGCAGCCGCGGUAAUACGGUGGAUCCGAGCGUUAUCCGGAUUUAUUGGGUUUAAAGGGAGCGUAGAUGGGUUGUUAAGUCAGUUGUGAAAGUUUGCGGCUCAACCGUAAAAUUGCAAUUGAUACUGGCAGUCUUGAGUACAGUUGAGGUAAGCGGAAUUCGUGGUGUAGCGGUGAAAUGCUUAGAUAUCACGAAGAACCCCGAUUGCGAAGGCAGCUUACUAAACUGUGACUGACAUUGAUGCUCGAAAGUGUGGGUAUCAAACAGGAUUAGAUACCCCGGUAGUC
RNAcentral lists this ribosomal RNA (460 nucleotides) under uncultured bacterium. Its description in RNAcentral is "partial 16S ribosomal RNA". It matches the Rfam family "Bacterial small subunit ribosomal RNA", at positions 338 to 795 of the family's 1533-position model. The record is from RNAcentral.